AAGGAAUAUUGGUCAAUGGGCGCAAGCCUGAACCAGCCAUGCCGCGUGCAGGAAGACGGCCCUAUGGGUUGUAAACUGCUUUUAUCAGGGAAUAAACCCCCGCUCGUGAGCGGGGCUGAAGGUACCUGAAGAAUAAGCAUCGGCUAACUCCGUGCCAGCAGCCGCGGUAAUACGGAGGAUGCAAGCGUUAUCCGGAUUCAUUGGGUUUAAAGGGUGCGCAGGCGGAUUGGUAAGUCAGGGGUGAAAUCCCACAGCUCAACUGUGGAACUGCCUUUGAUACUGUCAGUCUAGAGUAUAGUUGAAGUGGGCGGAAUGUGUCAUGUAGCGGUGAAAUGCUUAGAUAUGACACAAAACACCGAUCGCGAAGGCAGCUCGCUAAGCUAUAACUGACGCUCAUGCACGAAAGCGUGGGGAUCAAACAG
RNAcentral lists this ribosomal RNA (422 nucleotides) under uncultured bacterium. RNAcentral's name for it is "bacterial SSU rRNA". It matches the Rfam family "Bacterial small subunit ribosomal RNA", at positions 356 to 775 of the family's 1533-position model. The record is from RNAcentral.